GGAGGUCCGAACCCACGAGCGUUGAAAAGCUCGGGGAUGACUUGUGGGUAGCGGUGAAAUUCCAAUCGAGCCCGGAGAUAGCUGGUUCUCCCCGAAAUAGCUUUAGGGCUAGCCUCAAGGUGAGAGAUACGGAGGUAGAGCACUGAAUGUCCUAGGGGGUAUUGCACCUACCGAAGACUAUCAAACUCCGAAUGCCGUCAUCUUAUACUUGGGAGUCAGACUGUGGGUGAUAAGAUUCAUAGUCGAAAGGGCAACAGCCCAGAUCGUCAGCUAAGGUCCCUAAAUGUAAGUUAAGUGGUAAAGGAUGUGGGAUUGCACAGACAACCAGGAUGUUGGCUUAGAAGCAGCCACUCAUUCAAAGAGUGCGUAAUAGCUCACUGGUCGAGUGAUCCUGCGCCGAAGAUUUCCGGGGCUAAAACUUACUACCGAAGCUACGGCAUCAGUAAUGAUGGGUAGGGGAGCUUCCCAUACGGGUUGAAGCAUGACCGUAAGGACAUGUGGACAGUAUGGGAGUGAGAAUGUUGGCAUGAGUAGCGAGAUGUGGGUGAGAAUCCCACAGGCCGUAAACCCAAGGUUUCCAGGGGAAGGUUCGUCCGCCCUGGGUUAGGCGGGACCUAAGCUGAGGCCGAAAGGCGUAGGUGAUGGACAACAGGUUGAUAUUCCUGUACUACCGAUAACCGUUUGAGAGAAGGGAUGACACAGUAGGAUAAGCUAAGCACACUGUUGGUUAUGUGUGCCCAAGCAUUGAGGCAGUCAAAGUAGGCAAAUCCGCUUUGAUAAUGCUGGGAUGUGAUGGGGAGCGAAAUUUAGUAGCGAAGUAGCUGAUUUCACACUGUCAAGAAAAGUCUCUAUCGAGGUUAAAGGUACCCGUACCGCAAACCGACACAGGUGGGUGAGGAGAGUAUCCUAAGGCCA
Molecule: ribosomal RNA, 915 nt
Filed under: Clostridioides difficile
Lineage: Bacteria; Bacillati; Bacillota; Clostridia; Peptostreptococcales; Peptostreptococcaceae
Description: bacterial LSU rRNA
Rfam family: Bacterial large subunit ribosomal RNA
Source: RNAcentral